AACGUAGGUUCCGAGCGUUAUCCGGAUUUACUGGGCGUAAAGCGCGUUCAGGCGGUUUGGCAAGUCGUGCAUGAAAUCUCUCGGCUCAACCGGGAGAGGUUGUCCGAUACUUCCAGACUUGAGGGCAGUAGAGGGUGGUGGAAUUCCGGGUGUAGUGGUGAAAUGCGUAGAUAUCCGGAGGAACACCAGUGGCGAAAGCGGCCACCUGGACUGCACCUGACGCUGACACGCGAAAGCUAGGGGAGCGAACGGG
RNAcentral lists this ribosomal RNA (253 nucleotides) under uncultured bacterium. RNAcentral's name for it is "partial 16S ribosomal RNA". It matches the Rfam family "Bacterial small subunit ribosomal RNA", at positions 524 to 776 of the family's 1533-position model. The record is from RNAcentral.